UAGCUCAGCUGGAUAGAGCGUAUGAUUCCUAAUCGUAAGGUCGUGGGUUCGAAUCCC
This 57-nucleotide transfer RNA is filed under the name Helicobacter pylori. RNAcentral's name for it is "tRNA-Arg". It matches the Rfam family "tRNA", at positions 8 to 61 of the family's 71-position model. Rfam says of the family: Transfer RNA (tRNA) molecules are approximately 80 nucleotides in length. Their secondary structure includes four short double-helical elements and three loops (D, anti-codon, and T loops). The record is from RNAcentral. Lineage: Bacteria; Pseudomonadati; Campylobacterota; Epsilonproteobacteria; Campylobacterales; Helicobacteraceae.